This is a long non-coding RNA of Zonotrichia leucophrys gambelii, 3406 nucleotides long. RefSeq lists it as uncharacterized. The record is from RefSeq and is a predicted model, not a curated record. NCBI's taxonomy places the organism in Eukaryota, Metazoa, Chordata, Aves, Passeriformes, Passerellidae. The transcript has 5 exons.
CCGGCUGCGAGGGGCGGGCGGCUCUCGGUGUGAGGGUCUCUCCGAGGAGGGGGUGUCGGUGUGAGGGUCUCUGCGGGGAGAGGGCGUUGGUCUGGUGGGCUCUUGUGAGGAGGGGGCAGCCGGCUGUGAGGGGUUGUGUGAGGAGGAGCCCUUGCUGUGAGGGGCUCUUGGGGAGGGGUCGUUGGUGUGAGGAGAGGAUAACCUAACCAGCUGUGAGGAGGGGUUUUGGCGUGAGGGGCAGUUUUAGGGGACAGGUGAGGGGUUGCUGAGGGAUAGGGGAACAGGAGAGAGCUGGCUGAGGGGAGUUUGGGAUAGACGGUUUGUGGAAGCCCCAUGUGGCAACACUGAGGGGUGAGAGGGGCCAGAGGGAGAAGAUGGUGGGGGGCUGCUGCUGAGGCCAUUUGAGCUCAGACAGCAUUUUGAGGGGCAGCAGGCCUGAGGGAGAAUGAGGAAAGGUGUGGAGUGGGCAGAGAGAUGAGGGGUCCAGCAAGGGAGUACAUGGGGCCAGGACGUGUGUAGGGGAGAGGCCUGGCGUGGGUGGGAGCUUUUUGGGGGAAAUGUGGCAGAGGACAGUGGGUUUGGGGCAGGCUGGCUGUGGUCAGGCCAUGGAGCCAAGUGGAGCUGCCUCUUUGGCCAGGAGCAGCUCAUCUACAGGGGGUGACAAUCCUAGGAGGUCGUAGGUGACUGCUCUAGUGCAGCUGCCCUCACCAAAUGGGUGUGUUUCAGCCUGCCCUUGGCCGAGCUAUAUCUGGGUUGUGGCCAGAAGAGGGAAAAAAAAUCUCAUGGCUUGAGCACAUGGUCUCCUAAACUGUACCCUUGGCUCACAGUGGUGGGUGUUGAACUUGAUUACAGCUGGAGGAAUUCUAAACAGUCCACUUCUCCUUGUCAUGGUGUUUGAGCGCAUUGUGCUCCUGUCUGAACAGAGGAAAUCACUGAGGUAAUUCCUGUAUGUGGCAAAGUUGUCUGUGCCAGCCUGGAAGCUUUGUCCAAAAGCAGCAACAGUUACUGUCUCUUGGUUUCUCAAAGCUGCAGCUCCUCACUGGUUCCACAGAGCUGCUUUGUCACAAAGUGUCAGGAACUUUGUAGAAGUCACUGCAUCCUCUGCUGUGCUUGGGAUCAACUCUGGCAUCUGCCUGAAUGUUUGUAUGUCCCUCCUGCACAGACACUUACCUGAGACCAAGGCCUGGAUGAUGUUUGCAGACUAGGCAUAUCUUUGCUGGAUGAUCUGAUGGAUUCACAUCAUGAUGUACUUGGGCAUAAGAGAUGGAAUCUCCAUAAAAGUGUUGUCCAUGCUGCAUUCAGCUGUGGGGAUGUUGCCUUAAAUGAUUGAUCUAGUGUUUGAAGUCCUAUUGCUUGAUUUACAUCUUGAUUUUUAGUAUCUUGGCAGACCUUUCUCUCACACAGUAAAGCAUAGCUGGGGUUUUAGUAGAAUUCUGCCCUUAGGUCAAGCUCAAACCUCAUUGCUCCUCCCUGCCUUCAGCUGGAAAUGGACAGCCACCAUUUGUGACUGAAUAUCCUGAGUCACCGAUUCCCAGCUGGCAUGUGCACUGCAGUUCCGUCUCUUCCUUUCCGACUGCACUCCCUAGAGGCGAUUGGGAACAACUGCAGUCGUCAGCUCCAGCGUGGUGUGCGCUCUUGCCGGGAUCCACACAAUUGGUGGACAACCCCUGUCUACGUCUAUGGGAGGUCAAAGUCCACUGCAAGCAGUGACUGAUACGAUUCCCUGUGUAAGUCAGGCUGGACUGCCUGUGCCUCAGGUUCUAACAGCAGGGGAGUUUGUGCAAGAGCACCUUGGUAGGUGUUUGUCUGGAUUUCUCUGUGGUCCCUGUGACGAUCCUAGGAAGCAGGAGAAGAUCCAGAAUUGUCUGAAAGCCAGGAUUCUUUGAAAUCCCAGAGAAGUAAUGAUGAGCAAUGUGGCUGAACCUGCUAGCCUGCUUCCCAUUCUGCUUCUUGUAUGGGUCCAAGAAGCUGCCUCCAGUUUAUACAAUUGCACUCUAGUAAACAAUUUUGCAUGCAGCUAUGGGCAGCAGAUGUUACUCAUGCCUGUGUGAACACUUCAGUGUUUUUACAACAGGGAUGAUCCUCAGAUUGAGUCCUGUUAAACAAUGGAUGUACCCACCAGAAGUCCCACUGGUCUCAGCCAUUCUGUUACAGCUUGCUCAGAACACUUUGAAGGAUGGUCACGCCAUCCUUCUUUGGCCACUCAAGGGGAUUGACUCACAAAUAUGAGCAAAAUAAAAUUAGAUGGCUUAAGUGGCUGCAGCCCCAGCUGUGUCCCCACUGCCCAAUUCCCAGAAGGUCAUCCCUGCAGCCAGGCUGGCUGUGGAAGGCAACUCCAGAGCUGCUGUAGUGACAGCCCAUUCUUCAGGGUGUUAAUGCUUGUCUGGCUCCUCUGUGAAACAGUUUAGGAAGCUUAACCAGAAUAAAAAUGUGCACUUUUCCAUCUGAAGAAUUAUUUUUUAGUUUAAUUUCUCAAAUGGGCUCUGAGAAGCAGCAGUGUUGCUGUGAGGGCAGGGCAGAGAGAGAUGACCUUCCCUUUUGGGAGCAGCCAUUACGUCAGUUUUGCUGCCUCACAAAACUAUACCCUAUGGUUAUUUUUGGUACUAGACUGCCUUAAUUUUCUGGAGAGUGAAUGAAGGAUUAGCAUAGUGUGCUUAUGACAUUUGGAAACUAAGCUUUCAGGAAAAAAAAUCAUAAUUCAGCAUGUGCUGAAAUGGAAAUGCUUAAUUUGCUGGGGAUUGGAAAGAUGAGUCAAAUAUGAAUUUUUUACAAUUUUCACAAUUCAGCUAGGGGGUUAAAUCCUUUUUUAAUUUUUUGCGUUUUGCUGCUUUUUAAGACCUCUAACCCAAUGCCUACUAUCCAGCUGCCUCUAGAGAGAGAAGUCUUUAAAGAGACCAGCUUUGUACCUAUAAAUAAUGUACACAGCAGAGUACAAAAAUGGAGUCAAGGAGAAGCUCCUCCUUACCUGAAUGUAACUGCAGCAGCUCUGUGAGAAUAGCUGUGGUCAGGCUGUGAGCAGCACUCGUACCCUGCCAUCCAUCUUGGCUAAACUGCUGCUGAGAACUAAUGCUGAGAUUCCAACACUUGAAUAUCAGCUGGUAAAUCCCAACUGCCUUGUGCUGAAACACAUGAGAUGCCAGCAGCCGAACGUGGCAAGGUUUUGAACAGUGUGGUUAUAAUCCUACUUGGAACUAAAGGUCUGCUGGAGUGCUUUGUUAAGUUAGAUGUGCUGGAAUAUGGAGAAUUUCUCAAGUCUGAGCCCCUGCUAUAAAUGAAAACACUGUGGCAAAAAAAUGUAAAUAAAUGCCAGACAUAUUUUGUGUAAAAGCCCUUCCCAAUAUCUAUAAAUAUGGUAAUUUUGGGGUUUCCCAGUUUUGAGUUUUAAACAGGAGACAGACACAUGAAA